UUGCAUUUCAUUUUAAGUUGGUUACACUUGCUGAGACACUUCUAUUGGAAUGCCAUGUAUCGUUAAAGAAAUUUUGUGAUGUGUUGGGCCUCAAUAAGUCCAAUAUGCUUCCUGUUUGGGUUAAGAAUCUCUAUAAAAUAUUGAAUGAUGAUUCUUUUGAUGAAUUUAGAUAUCACCAACAUUUGUUCAAAACAAUGAAACAAUUUGUCUUGCAACAAAAACCUGACAAUGUUUGCCCGUUAUGUCCUUUGCAGAGUGAAACUGAUACUGACAAGAAUGUUGCCAUUGAGUGCAUGGAUGGAUGUUUUGGGCUUGUGAGAAAAA
This is a long non-coding RNA of Dendronephthya gigantea, 324 nucleotides long. RefSeq lists it as uncharacterized. The transcript has 4 exons. The record is from RefSeq and is a predicted model, not a curated record. NCBI's taxonomy places the organism in Eukaryota, Metazoa, Cnidaria, Anthozoa, Malacalcyonacea, Nephtheidae.